RNAcentral lists this ribosomal RNA (468 nucleotides) under uncultured bacterium. RNAcentral's name for it is "partial 16S ribosomal RNA". It matches the Rfam family "Bacterial small subunit ribosomal RNA", at positions 28 to 507 of the family's 1533-position model. The record is from RNAcentral.
GACGAACGCUGGCGGCGCGCCUAACACAUGCAAGUCGAACGGAGCUGAGAGAAGCUUGCUUUUCUUAGCUUAGUGGCGAACGGGUGAGUAACGCGUGAGUAACCUGCCCUGGAGUGGGGGACAACAGUUGGAAACGACUGCUAAUACCGCAUAAGCCCACGAUCCGGCAUCGGAUUGAGGGAAAAGGAUUUAUUCGCUUCAGGAUGGACUCGCGUCCAAUUAGCUAGUUGGUGAGGUAACGGCCCACCAAGGCGACGAUUGGUAGCCGGACUGAGAGGUUGAACGGCCACAUUGGGACUGAGACACGGCCCAGACUACUACGGGAGGCAGCAGUGGGGGAUAUUGCACAAUGGGGGAAACCAUGAUGCAGCGACGCCGCGUGGAGGAAGAAGGUUUUAGGAUUGUAAACUCCUGUCGUUAGGGACGAUAAUGACGGUACCUAACAAGAAAGCACCGGCUAACUACGUG